GAAAUGCGAUAAGUAAUGUGAAUUGCAGAAUUCCGUGAAUCAUCGAAUCUUUGAACGCACAUUGCGCCCUCUGGUAUUCCGGGGGGCAUGCCUGUCCGAGCGUCAUUGCGAACCCCUCAAGCACGGCUUGUGUGAUGGGCCCUCCCGCGUCUUGGUCGUCAAGACGGGCCCGAAAUGCAGUGGCGGCUUCGCGGUUAUCCGAUCAGCCAGAGCGUAUGGGGACUUUCUCUCUGUCACACGCCCGCGGCGCGGACCGACGCCUGUCGACCUUCAUUCAUCGUUUUCUCGGUUAACCUCGGAUCAGGUAGGGAUACCCGCUGAACUUAAGC
Molecule: unclassified non-coding RNA, 329 nt
Filed under: plant metagenome
Description: partial contains 5.8S ribosomal RNA, internal transcribed spacer 2, and large subunit ribosomal RNA
Rfam family: 5.8S ribosomal RNA (bases 1-105)
Source: RNAcentral